UGGUCCUCACAUGGUUUUGGUGCCUAAGUCUACGUUACACAACUGGAUGAGUGAAUUCAAGAGAUGGGUGCCAACACUUAGGUCUGUUUGUUUAAUAGGCGAUAAAGAACAGAGGGCUGCUUUUGUCAGAGAUGUUUUGUUACCAGGAGAAUGGGAUGUAUGUGUAACUUCUUAUGAAAUGCUUAUUAAAGAGAAGUCUGUUUUCAAAAAAUUUAAUUGGAGAUACUUGGUUAUUGAUGAAGCUCACAGGAUCAAAAAUGAAAAAUCCAAGUUGUCAGAAAUAGUGAGGGAAUUCAAGACUACAAAUCGACUAUUAUUAACUGGAACACCUCUUCAAAACAACUUGCAUGAACUUUGGUCACUUCUUAAUUUUUUGUUACCAGAUGUCUUUAAUUCAGCUGAUGACUUCGAUUCCUGGUUUGAUACAAAUAAUUGCCUUGGGGAUCAAAAGCUAGUUGAGAGGCUUCAUAUGGUUUUGCGUCCAUUCCUCCUUCGUCGAAUUAAGGCUGAUGUUGAAAAGAGUUUACCUCCAAAGAAGGAAGUAAAAAUCUAUGUGGGUCUUAGCAAAAUGCAAAGGGAAUGGUAUACUCGGAUAUUAAUGAAGGAUAUAGAUAUACUGAACUCUGCAGGAAAGAUGGACAAAAUGCGGCUGCUGAACAUUCUGAUGCAGUUGCGGAAAUGCUGUAACCACCCCUAUCUCUUUGAUGGGGCUGAACCGGGUCCACCUUACACAACGGACAUGCAUCUGGUUACCAACAGUGGCAAAAUGGUGGUGUUAGACAAACUGCUCCCUAAAUUAAAAGAACAAGGUUCGCGAGUACUGAUCUUCAGUCAGAUGACCAGGGUAUUGGAUAUUUUGGAAGAUAAUUGCAUGUGGAGGAAUUAUGAGUACUGUAGGUUGGAUGGACAGACACCCCAUGAUGAGAGACAAGAGUCCAUCAAUGCGUACAAUGAACCAAACAGCACAAAGUUUGUUUUUAUGUUAAGCACAUGAGCUGGUGGUCUUGGCAUCAAUCUUGCUACUGCUGAUGUUGUGAUUUUGUAUGACUCAGAUUGGAAUCCCCAAGUAGAUCUUCAGGCUAUGGACCGAGCACAUAGAAUUGGACAGACCAAGACAGUCAGAGUGUUCCGCUUCAUAACUGACAACACUGUAGAAGAAAGAAUAGUGGAGCGUGCCGAGAUGAAGCUCAGACUGGAUUCCAUCGUCAUCCAGCAGGGAAGACUUGUGGAUCAGAAUCUGAACAAAAUUGGAAAAGAUGAGAUGCUUCAAAUGAUAAGGCAUGGGGCAACACAUGUAUUUGCUUCAAAGGAGAGUGAGAUUACUGAUGAGGAUAUUGAUGGUAUUUUGGAAAGAGGUGCAAAGAAGACUGCAGAGAUGAAUGAAAAGCUCUCCAAGAUGGGUGAAAACUCACUUAGAAAUUUUACAAUGGAUACAGAGUCAAGCGUUUAUAACUUUGAAGGAGAAGAUUACAGAGAAAAACAAAAGAUUGCAUUCACAGAGUGGAUUGAGCCUCCUAAACGAGAAAGAAAAGCCAACUAUGCUGUCGAUGCCUAUUUCAGGGAAGCUCUUCGCGUCAGUGAACCUAAAGCACCCAAGGCUCCUCGACCUCCAAAACAACCCAGUGUUCAGGAUUUCCAGUUCUUUCCUCCAUGUCUAUUUGAAUUAUUGGAAAAAGAAAUUCUGUAUUACAGAAAAACAAUUGGUAAUAAGGUCCCUCGAAAUCCUGACCUACCAAAUGCAGCACAGGCACAGAAGGAAGAACAGCUUAAAAUUGAUGAAGCUGAACCCCUUAAUGAUGAAGAGUUAGAGGAAAAAGAGAAGCUUCUGACGCAGGGAUUUACCAAUUGGAAUAAGAGAGAUUUUAACCAGUUUAUCAAAGCUAAUGAGAAGUGGGGUCGUGAUGAUAUUGAAAAUAUAGCAAGAGAAGUAGAGGGAAAAACUCCAGAAGAAGUCAUUGAAUACUCAGCUGUGUUCUGGGAAAGAUGCAAUGAGCUGCAGGACAUAGAAAAGAUUAUGGCUCAGAUCGAGAGAGGAGAGGCGAGAAUUCAGAGGAGAAUUAGCAUCAAAAAAGCACUUGACACGAAGAUCGGACGGUACAAAGCACCUUUUCAUCAGCUGAGAAUAUCUUAUGGUACUAACAAAGGGAAAAACUACACUGAAGAGGAAGACCGUUUCCUGAUCUGUAUGCUUCACAAGCUUGGAUUCGACAAGGAAAAUGUGUAUGAUGAGCUGCGGCAGUGUAUUCGCAACUCUCCUCAGUUCAGAUUCGACUGGUUUCUAAAGUCCAGAACCGCAAUGGAACUCCAGAGGAGGUGUAACACCUUAAUUACCUUGAUUGAAAGAGAAAAUAUGGAACUAGAAGAAAAGGAGAAGGCAGAGAAGAAGAAAAGAGGACCCAAACCUUCAACACAGAAACGUAAAAUGGAUGGAGCACCUGAUGGCCGAGGAAGAAAAAAGAAGCUGAAACUAUGAAUACAUAUUUGUUUCAUAAUCACUAACUUUAAACCAGUAGUUCUUUAAUUUACGGGUCUUCAUAAGAUGUACUGUACAAUGCUCAAUUGUUAUGUCAUUCAACGACAUCAGGUUCAUCUGUUUACCGAGCUAGAGACAUAGUAUGUAGUUUCACUUUUUUAAAUGCAACAGCUGUGCUGAAAUUUUUUUAUCAUUAACACUUGAAGUAAUAAAAUAGGCUUCAUUUAUUAA
This is an RNA transcript of Capra hircus (goat), 2704 nucleotides long. It is a transcript of the gene named SWI/SNF-related matrix-associated actin-dependent regulator of chromatin subfamily A member 5 pseudogene, with no coding region annotated. The transcript has a single exon. Lineage: Eukaryota; Metazoa; Chordata; Mammalia; Artiodactyla; Bovidae. The record is from RefSeq and is a predicted model, not a curated record.